GAUGAACGCUGGCGGUAUGCUUUACACAUGCAAGUCGUACGAGAGUUUUUAACUCAAGUGGCGGACGGGUGAGUAACACGUAAGAAUUUGCCUUUAGGAGGGGGACAACAACUGGAAACGGUUGCUAAUACCCCAUAUGCUUUCGAGUGAAAUGGAUUUUUCCGCCUAAAGAGAAGCUUGCGGCUGAUUAGCUUGUUGGUGAGGUAAUGGCUCACCAAGGCGACGAUCAGUAUCUGGUUUGAGAGGACGAUCAGACACACUGGAACUGAGACACGGUCCAGACUCCUACGGGAGGCAGCAGUGGGGAAUUUUCCGCAAUGGGCGAAAGCCUGACGGAGCAAUACCGCGUGAGGGAUGACGGCCUAUGGGUUGUAAACCUCUUUUCAGGGAGGAAUAAAAUGACGUGUACCUGAAGAAUAAGCAUCGGCUAAACUCCGUGCCAGCCGCCGCGGUAAU
RNAcentral lists this ribosomal RNA (456 nucleotides) under uncultured bacterium. RNAcentral describes it as "bacterial SSU rRNA". It matches the Rfam family "Bacterial small subunit ribosomal RNA", at positions 28 to 524 of the family's 1533-position model. The record is from RNAcentral.